GACGAACGCUGGCGGCGUGCUUAACACAUGCAAGUCGAACGGAAAGGCCCUGCUUUUGUGGGGUGCUCGAGUGGCGAACGGGUGAGUAACACGUGAGUAACCUGCCCUUGACUUUGGGAUAACUUCAGGAAACUGGGGCUAAUACCGGAUAGGAGCUCCUGCUGCAUGGUGGGGGUUGGAAAGUUUCGGCGGUUGGGGAUGGACUCGCGGCUUAUCAGCUUGUUGGUGGGGUGGUGGCUUACCAAGGCUUUGACGGGUAGCCGGCCUGAGCGGGUGACCGGCCAGAUUGGGAGUGAGAGAGGGACGGGACUCCAACCGGAGGGAGCAGGGGGGAAUGUUGAGCGAUGGGCGGGAGGCUGAUGCAGGAAGGGCGGGUGCGGGGUGACGGCCUGCGGGUGGGAAACCGAUUUCGCCUGUGACGAAGCGAGUGUGACGGUAGUGGGUGAAGAAGCACCGGCUAACUACGUG
Molecule: ribosomal RNA, 468 nt
Filed under: uncultured bacterium
Lineage: Bacteria
Description: partial 16S ribosomal RNA
Rfam family: Bacterial small subunit ribosomal RNA
Source: RNAcentral